RNAcentral lists this ribosomal RNA (253 nucleotides) under uncultured bacterium. RNAcentral's name for it is "partial 16S ribosomal RNA". It matches the Rfam family "Bacterial small subunit ribosomal RNA", at positions 524 to 776 of the family's 1533-position model. The record is from RNAcentral.
UACGUAGGGGGCAAGCGUUGUCCGGAAUUAUUGGGCGUAAAGCGCGCGCAGGCGGUCCUUUAAGUCUGAUGUGAAAGCCCACGGCUCAACCGUGGAGGGUCAUUGGAAACUGGGGGACUUGAGUACAGAAGAGAAGAGUGGAAUUCCAAGUGUAGCGGUGAAAUGCGUAGAGAUCGGGAGGAACAUCAGUUGCGAAGGCGGCUCUCUGGACCAGCACUGACACUGAGGCACGAAAGCGUGGGGAGCAAACAGG